RNAcentral lists this ribosomal RNA (301 nucleotides) under uncultured bacterium. RNAcentral's name for it is "partial 16S ribosomal RNA". It matches the Rfam family "Bacterial small subunit ribosomal RNA", at positions 509 to 807 of the family's 1533-position model. The record is from RNAcentral.
CAGCAGCCGCGGUAAUACGGAGGAUCCAAGCGUUAUCCGGAUUUAUUGGGUUUAAAGGGUGCGUAGGUGGCUUUUUAAGUCAGGGGUGAAAGACGGUAGCUUAACUAUCGCAGUGCCUUUGAUACUGAAGAGCUUGAAUGAACUGGAGGUAAGCGGAAUGUGACGAGUAGCGGUGAAAUGCAUAGAUAUGUCACAGAACACCAAUUGCGAAGGCAGCUUACUACGGUUUUAUUGACACUGAGGCACGAAAGCGUGGGGAUCAAACAGGAUUAGAUACCCCUGUAGUCCCUGUCUCUUAUAC